RNAcentral lists this ribosomal RNA (648 nucleotides) under uncultured archaeon. RNAcentral describes it as "bacterial SSU rRNA". It matches the Rfam family "Archaeal small subunit ribosomal RNA", at positions 1 to 658 of the family's 1478-position model. The record is from RNAcentral.
UUCCGGUUGAUCCUGCCGGACCUGACUGCUAUCGGAUUGGUACUAAGCCAUGCGAGUCAUUGUACAAUACAAGGCGGACGGCUCAGUAACACGUAGUCAACCUAACUCGUGGACGUGGAUAACCUCGGGAAACUGAGAAUAAACCACGAUAGAUCAUAGUGCCUGGAAUGGCUUAUGGUCCAAACAGUUUACUGCCAUGGGAUGGGACUGCGGCCUAUCAGCUUGUUGGUGAGGUAAUGGCCCACCAAGGCGAUUACAGGUACGGGCUCUGAGAGGAGAAGCCCGGAGAUGGGUACUGAGACACGGACCCAGGCCCUAUGGGGCGCAGCAGGCGAGAAACCUUAGCAAUGUGCGAAAGCACGACUGGGUCAGUCCGAGUGAUUCCUGAUAAAGGAGUCUUUUGCUUGUCCUAAAAGCACAGGUGAAUAAGGGGUGGGCAAGUCUGGUGUCAGCCGCCGCGGUAAUACCAGCACCUCGAGUGGUCAGGACGUUUAUUGGGCCUAAAGCAUCCGUAGCCGGCUCUGCAAGUCUUCGGUUAAAUCCACCUGCUCAACAGAUGGGCUGCUGGAGAUACUACAGAGCUAGGGAGUGGGAGAGGCAGACGGUAUUCAGUGGGUAGGGGUAAAAUCCUCUGAUCCAUUGAGGACC